GACGAACGCUGGCGGCGUGCUUAACACAUGCAAGUCGAACGGUAAGGCUCCAGCUUGCUGGGGUACACGAGUGGCGAACGGGUGAGUAACACGUGGGUGACCUGCCCUGCACUUCGGGAAAAGCCUGGGAAACUGGGUCUAAUACCGGAACGGACCAUGGUGUGGAUACUGUGGUGGAAAGGUUUUUCGGUAUGGGCUGGGCCCGCGGCCUAUCAGCUUGUUGGUGGGGUAAUGGCCUACCAAGGCGGCGACGGGUAGCCGGCCUGAGAGGGGGGACGGCCACAAGGGUCCUGAGACACGGACCAGACGCCUACGGUAGGCAGCAGUGGGGAACAUUGUACAAUGGGGGGAAGCCUGAUGCAGCGACGCCGCGUGGGGGAUGACGGCCUUCGGGGUGUAAACUCCUUUCACCUUCGACGAAGGGUUUCUGACGGUAGCUGGAGAAGAAGCACCGGCUAACUACGUG
RNAcentral lists this ribosomal RNA (466 nucleotides) under uncultured bacterium. RNAcentral describes it as "partial 16S ribosomal RNA". It matches the Rfam family "Bacterial small subunit ribosomal RNA", at positions 28 to 507 of the family's 1533-position model. The record is from RNAcentral.